Molecule: small nuclear RNA, 141 nt
Gene: U4
Rfam family: U4 spliceosomal RNA
About the family: U4 small nuclear RNA (U4 snRNA) is a component of the major U2-dependent spliceosome. The structure of U4 snRNA from yeast and human has been reported. U4 snRNA presents a k-turn RNA motif in the 5p-SL related to recognition of Snu13 protein.
Source: Ensembl
AGCUUUGCGCAGUGGCAGUAUCGUAGCCAAUGAGGUUUAUCCGAGGCACGAUUAUUGCUAAUUAAAAAAUAGGGUCUAGAACAAUAUGAAUAAAAUAUACACAUCACAGAGGACAUAAGGAUAUUAAAAAUAGUUGCCUAU